GAUGAACGCUGGCGGCGUGCCUAAUACAUGCAAGUCGAGCGAACGGACGAGAAGCUUGCUUCUCUGAUGUUAGCGGCGGACGGGUGAGUAACACGUGGAUAACCUACCUAUAAGACUGGGAUAACUUCGGGAAACCGGAGCUAAUACCGGCUAAUAUUUUGAACCGCUUGGUUCAAAAGUGAAAGACGGUCUUGCUGUCACUUAUAGAUGGAUCCGCGCUGCAUUAGCUAGUUGGUAAGGUAACGGCUUACCAAGGCAACGAUGCAUAGCAGACCUGAGAGGGUGAUCGGCCACACUGGAACUGAGACACGGUCCAGACUCCUACGGGAGGCAGCAGUAGGGAAUCUUACGCAAUGGGCGAAAGCCUGACGGAGCAACGCCGCGUGAGUGAUGAAGGUCUUCGGAUCGUAAAACUCUGUUAUUAGGGAAGAACAUAUGUGUAAGUAACUGUGCACAUCUUGACGGUACCUAAUCAGAAAGCCACGGCUAACUACGUG
This 497-nucleotide ribosomal RNA is filed under the name uncultured bacterium. Its description in RNAcentral is "partial 16S ribosomal RNA". It matches the Rfam family "Bacterial small subunit ribosomal RNA", at positions 28 to 507 of the family's 1533-position model. The record is from RNAcentral.